RNAcentral lists this ribosomal RNA (386 nucleotides) under Tigriopus fulvus. Its description in RNAcentral is "partial small subunit ribosomal RNA". Lineage: Eukaryota; Metazoa; Arthropoda; Copepoda; Harpacticoida; Harpacticidae. The record is from RNAcentral.
GCGGUUAUACUUGUUCUCCCACUCAAAGAUAAAAUAUGAAUAGAAUUUAAUGAGUUUGUCUAAUAAAUAAGACGUAAAAGUAUUUUCAAAAAUAGUAUAAUAAACUGGAUUAGUACCCAGGUAAAACAAUGAAUUAAGUAAGGUAAUACCUAAAUUAAAUGGCAGUAUUUAGAGGAAGUAGAGAAACUUGAAGUUUAGAAAAUCCACUUUAUUAUUGAUUCUCUAAAAGUUUAAGUAUGGCUGUCCAAAAAUAAGUUUGUACUUAAAUUUGUAGUCAAGCAGCAUUUAAUUUAGAGAAAAUCUUUGAGUUGCAAAAAUUAGUUUAAUAAAAUUUAUUAAAAUAAGGAUUUACAAGUAAAAAUAAUUUUGAAAAAAAUCUAAGUACA